Molecule: ribosomal RNA, 899 nt
Filed under: uncultured bacterium
Lineage: Bacteria
Description: bacterial SSU rRNA
Rfam family: Bacterial small subunit ribosomal RNA
Source: RNAcentral
AGAGUUUGAUCAUGGCUCAGGAUGACGCUGCGCGUGCUUAACACAUGCAAGUCGAACGGAAAGGCCUCUAGCUUGCUAGAGGUACUCGAGUGGCGAACGGAUGAGUAACACGUGGGUGAUCUGCCCUGCACUGUGGGAUAAGCCUGGGAAACUGGGUCUAAUACCAUAUAGGACCGCAUCUUGGAUGGUGUGGUGGAAAGCUUUUGCGGUGUGGGAUGAGCUGCGGCCUAUCAGCUUGUUGGUGGGGUAAUGGCCCACCAAGGCGGCGACGGGUAUCCGGCCUGAGAGGGUGUACGGACACAUUGGGACUGAGAUACGGCCCAGACUCCUACGGGAGGCAGCAGUGGGGAAUAUUGCACAAUGGGCGCAAGCCUGAUGCAGCGACGCCGCGUGGGGGAUGAAGGCCUUCGGGUUGUAAACUCCUUUCGCUAUCGACGAAGCCACUUGUGGUGACGGUAGGUAGAUAAGAAGCACCGGCUAACUACGUGCCAGCAGCCGCGGUAAUACGUAGGGUGCAAGCGUUGUCCGGAAUUACUGGGCGUAAAGAGCUCGUAGGUGGUUUGUCGCGUCGUCUGUGAAAUCCCGGGGCUUAACUUCGGGCGUGCAGGCGAUACGGGCAUAACUUGAGUGCUGUAGGGGAGACUGGAAUUCCUGGUGUAGCGGUGAAAUGCGCAGAUAUCAGGAGGAACACCGAUGGCGAAGGCAGGUCUCUGGGCAGUAACUGACGCUGAGGAGCGAAAGCAUGGGUAGCGAACAGGAUUAGAUACCCUGGUAGUCCAUGCCGUAAACGGUGGGCGCUAGGUGUAGGGGUCUUCCACGACUUCUGUGCCGUAGCUAACGCAUUAAGCGCCCCGCCUGGGGAGUACGGCCGCAAGGCUAAAACUCAAAGGAAUUGACGG